AGAGAAUACUUUGUUUAUUGUUAGUCUGUCAAGAAACUGAAAGUGAAUCCAAUUAUUAUUAACACUAAGUGGCUAAAGUUGGUGACUAACUGAUAAAUGUUGAGUUGAGGAUACCAUCUCAGAAUUCCUCUAUGUAUGUCCACCAAGACCCCAGAACAUAUACAAAUACAUCCAGAAGAAAACUUUGAAGUCCGGAAGCUAAAGCACAGGAGAAGAUCAAAACCUAUGCAUCCAUUUGCUAUCUGCAUUUAUUUAGUCCGAUCUAAUUAUUAAAACUUACAGGCAACUUCAGUUCAAAAAUAUUCAGUGGUGUUUGUACAAGUUAGCAUUUUCAGAAUAUUGAAGGCUGAAGUCCUAAACAAACUUAAGAAUGAAUGUUCUUUCUGAAUAAAAAAUGGCCUUUUUAAGCAAAGAGGCUUAGGAUUACUUUAUAUUAUCCACAUCCUAAUUCUGCUUAUUAAGAAACAAAACUUUAUGAGUUUUGUCGUAUAAGUUUUUUUAUUGCUGUGUCUCUCCAUUUUUUCUAUGUGAAUAAUAAACUAAGUUUACCGUUUCUCAAUAAAUGCAUAGCAUCAUUUUAACUAAUAUGGUUUUCUUGCAGGAUCU
This is a non-coding RNA of Notechis scutatus (mainland tiger snake), 606 nucleotides long. Lineage: Eukaryota; Metazoa; Chordata; Lepidosauria; Squamata; Elapidae. The record is from RefSeq and is a predicted model, not a curated record.